This 1659-nucleotide long non-coding RNA is filed under the name Nicotiana tabacum (common tobacco). RNAcentral's name for it is "long non-coding RNA (NTAB_LNC014464)". The record is from RNAcentral. Lineage: Eukaryota; Viridiplantae; Streptophyta; Magnoliopsida; Solanales; Solanaceae.
AGUAUAACAUUAUGUUGACUAUAAUUCAAAGCAUCAAAACAUUUGGUGCUAGAAGUCUUUCUUAGAUAAUUAUACAUGAACCAUGAAAGUAACUCACGGAAAAGAGCCCAAACUAAACAAAUAUGGUUAAAAGUGGGGUCUUUACCUUUUCCUUAAACUAAGUAAUCUUAACAGAAUAAAAUUUCAAUCAGAUAUAUAAAGAAGAAAACGAUAAUUUAACUAAUUUUUAACAGAUUUACAUGAUGAUAACACUAAUAUAACAUUCAUCUUGAAACAAAAUCAGAUCUAAUAUGUUCCAUCAACCAAACCGGGAUCAAAUCCUUCUUAUUAUCAUCAAGAAUCUGCAAUAUAAGAAUUUGAAAGUUACCUGAUUUGUAGAAUAAUAAAAUACAACAGUGUAGCAACAAAAAACUCAACAGCAAAUAUAGUAGAAACAGCAGUAACUCAAGUGUUAAGACAACCCAGAAAACUCAACAAAGAUGCUUGAAACUGGUAGCUAUCAACUUCACAAAUUGCCUAAGGGAUCUUUCUAUUUUUUUCGAGGUUUUUGCACUCAAAUAAUCCUCACAAAACUCUGAAAUUUCAGCAUGUUAUAUGUAUUAAGCUGCUGAUUUUUCUCAAAGAUAUAUGUCUUUAAGCAACUCUCCAAGAUGUGUCUCAGUAUAAGAUAGAGUUUGUAAUAAAGUGUCCCUCCCUUUUCAGUGAGUAAAGAGCCCUUUAAAUAGGCAAAUAAAUCAGAUUUUUUGGACAGAUUUUGGUUCACCAAAAGUCUGUCCAAAAGACUGACUUUGUGUGCUAAACACUGUUCAAAAGCUGUCAAAAAGUAUUGUACUUGUCACCACACAAUGACUUUUGAGUUUUGCACUCCAAAGUCUUUGCACAGUAAAAACAACCAAACUUGUACUAUUCCUUCUUUAAUUUCAGCUUUUAUCAACACAAAAAUUCAAAUACCCAAAUCCAAUAAAAACAAAUUCACUAAACACUUGAAACUUCUAUCAUAAACUAUCAUGACUAAGCAAAUAGCUAUUUCAAAACUAAUGAAUAACUAAUUAUCAGUGAUUAAUAACUAUAAAUGACUAAACUAACAUAGAUUAAAUACAACUAAUAAUAAAAAUAUAAAUAAUAAUAAUAAAAAUAAAUAAAUAAAAAAAAUCAGAAAUUAUGCUAGACAUAAACUAAAUACAAUACAAUUAGGAAAAAUAGACAAAGGAAAUGAGAAUAGGGGUAUACCAAACGAGGGUGUUCGGGGUGGUCACCGGAAUUUGGCCGGAUUUUUAGUUGUCGGAUUUUCGGGAUGGAAUUGACAUCAAUAGGUAGGUCUUGAUGAGCUAUAUCCGUUGAUGUAGGUAUCGUGGGGUGGUAGUGCCCGGAACUUCAAGAUUUUGGGCAAAAAAGUGACAGCUAAAGUUUUCUAGAUCUAAAAUUCAAGGCGUUUGAGAGGUUUUUGAAGGAUUUGGUUUAGAGAUAUGGAAAGAGGAGGUUGUAGAGAUUACAUGGUGUGAAUUUAGGGGUGUUUGGAGGUUGGCCGCUGCCGGUGGGUGAUUUCCGGCGGCGGAGAGAAGAGAGAGAAAGAAGAGAGAAAGAGUUAUGGGUGAAAUGAGAGAAUUUUUCAGAUUUUUUAGGCUUUAAAUACCUCUUGAGAGAGAUAAAAUAUGGACC